RNAcentral lists this ribosomal RNA (497 nucleotides) under uncultured bacterium. RNAcentral's name for it is "partial 16S ribosomal RNA". It matches the Rfam family "Bacterial small subunit ribosomal RNA", at positions 28 to 507 of the family's 1533-position model. The record is from RNAcentral.
GACGAACGCUGGCGGCGUGCCUAAUACAUGCAAGUAGAACGCUGAAGAGAGGAGCUUGCUCUUCUUGGAUGAGUUGCGAACGGGUGAGUAACGCGUAGGUAACCUGCCUUGUAGCGGGGGAUAACUAUUGGAAACGAUAGCUAAUACCGCAUAACAAUGGAUGACCCAUGUCAUUUAUUUGAAAGGGGCAAAUGCUCCACUACAAGAUGGACCUGCGUUGUAUUAGCUAGUAGGUGAGGUAACGGCUCACCUAGGCGACGAUACAUAGCCGACCUGAGAGGGUGAUCGGCCACACUGGGACUGAGACACGGCCCAGACUCCUACGGGAGGCAGCAGUAGGGAAUCUUCGGCAAUGGGGGCGACCCUGACCGAGCAACGCCGCGUGAGUGAAGAAGGUUUUCGGAUCGUAAAGCUCUGUUGUAAGUCAAGAACGAGUGUGAGAGUGGAAAGUUCACACUGUGACGGUAGCUUACCAGAAAGGGACGGCUAACUACGUG